RNAcentral lists this ribosomal RNA (1507 nucleotides) under Helicobacter pylori X47-2AL. RNAcentral's name for it is "bacterial SSU rRNA". It matches the Rfam family "Bacterial small subunit ribosomal RNA". Lineage: Bacteria; Pseudomonadati; Campylobacterota; Epsilonproteobacteria; Campylobacterales; Helicobacteraceae. The record is from RNAcentral.
UUUAUGGAGAGUUUGAUCCUGGCUCAGAGUGAACGCUGGCGGCGUGCCUAAUACAUGCAAGUCGAACGAUGAAGCUUCUAGCUUGCUAGAAUGCUGAUUAGUGGCGCACGGGUGAGUAACGCAUAGGUCAUGUGCCUCUUAGUUUGGGAUAGCCAUUGGAAACGAUGAUUAAUACCAGAUACUCCCUACGGGGGAAAGAUUUAUCGCUAAGAGAUCAGCCUAUGUCCUAUCAGCUUGUUGGUAAGGUAAUGGCUUACCAAGGCUAUGACGGGUAUCCGGCCUGAGAGGGUGAACGGACACACUGGAACUGAGACACGGUCCAGACUCCUACGGGAGGCAGCAGUAGGGAAUAUUGCUCAAUGGGGGAAACCCUGAAGCAGCAACGCCGCGUGGAGGAUGAAGGUUUUAGGAUUGUAAACUCCUUUUGUUAGAGAAGAUAAUGACGGUAUCUAACGAAUAAGCACCGGCUAACUCCGUGCCAGCAGCCGCGGUAAUACGGAGGGUGCAAGCGUUACUCGGAAUCACUGGGCGUAAAGAGCGCGUAGGCGGGAUAGUCAGUCAGGUGUGAAAUCCUAUGGCUUAACCAUAGAACUGCAUUUGAAACUACUAUUCUAGAGUGUGGGAGAGGUAGGUGGAAUUCUUGGUGUAGGGGUAAAAUCCGUAGAGAUCAAGAGGAAUACUCAUUGCGAAGGCGACCUGCUGGAACAUUACUGACGCUGAUUGCGCGAAAGCGUGGGGAGCAAACAGGAUUAGAUACCCUGGUAGUCCACGCCCUAAACGAUGGAUGCUAGUUGUUGGAGGGCUUAGUCUCUCCAGUAAUGCAGCUAACGCAUUAAGCAUCCCGCCUGGGGAGUACGGUCGCAAGAUUAAAACUCAAAGGAAUAGACGGGGACCCGCACAAGCGGUGGAGCAUGUGGUUUAAUUCGAAGAUACACGAAGAACCUUACCUAGGCUUGACAUUGAGAGAAUCCGCUAGAAAUAGUGGAGUGUCUGGCUUGCCAGACCUUGAAAACAGGUGCUGCACGGCUGUCGUCAGCUCGUGUCGUGAGAUGUUGGGUUAAGUCCCGCAACGAGCGCAACCCCCUUUCUUAGUUGCUAACAGGUCAUGCUGAGAACUCUAAGGAUACUGCCUCCGUAAGGAGGAGGAAGGUGGGGACGACGUCAAGUCAUCAUGGCCCUUACGCCUAGGGCUACACACGUGCUACAAUGGGGUGCACAAAGAGAAGCAAUACUGCGAAGUGGAGCCAAUCUUCAAAACACCUCUCAGUUCGGAUUGUAGGCUGCAACUCGCCUGCAUGAAGCUGGAAUCGCUAGUAAUCGCAAAUCAGCCAUGUUGCGGUGAAUACGUUCCCGGGUCUUGUACUCACCGCCCGUCACACCAUGGGAGUUGUGUUUGCCUUAAGUCAGGAUGCUAAAUUGGCUACUGCCCACGGCACACACAGCGACUGGGGUGAAGUCGUAACAAGGUAACCGUAGGUGAACCUGCGGUUGGAUCACCUCCUUUCUA